AUGGUAGAGGACAUGGACUAUCCAGAGAUGGCAAAGAUGGAUUUCUUCGAGGUAAUCGUCGAAUGUAUUAAGGAAGGAGCCAAGAUAUUGCAGAAACACAGAAAUUUGCCUCAGGAAGAAAAGAACAAAAAGCAUGUCAAUGGUUUGGCACAGGGGCCAGUAAUCAUGUACCUCGACUCCCUGCUGCUGCCAACCGACACAAAAGAAAUGCAGAAGAUUGCAAAGACAAUGGACAAGACCUCAUUACCACGAGCAAACCAUCUCAAAGAGAGUGUCCUAGCGAAAAUAGCUAGAGCAGACAUGAAAAGGGACAGAAAAGCAUGA
This 324-nucleotide ribosomal RNA is filed under the name Triticum aestivum (bread wheat). RNAcentral's name for it is "partial small subunit ribosomal RNA". The record is from RNAcentral. Lineage: Eukaryota; Viridiplantae; Streptophyta; Magnoliopsida; Poales; Poaceae.